GGCGAACGGGUGAGUAGCGCAUCGGAACGUGCCCAGUAGUGGGGGAUAGCUCGGCGAAAGCCGGAUUAAUACCGCAUACGACCCAUGGGUGAAAGCGGGGGACCGCAAGGCCUCGCGCUAUUGGAGCGGCCGAUGCCCGAUUAGCUAGUUGGUGAGGUAAAGGCUCACCAAGGCAACGAUCGGUAGCUGGUCUGAGAGGACGACCAGCCACACUGGGACUGAGACACGGCCCAGACUCCUACGGGAGGCAGCAGUGGGGAAUUUUGGACAAUGGGGGAAACCCUGAUCCAGCCAUGCCGCGUGCGGGAAGAAGGCCUUCGGGUUGUAAACCGCUUUUGGCAGGAACGAAACGGCGCGCGCUAAUACCGCGCGCUUAUGACGGUACCUGCAGAAUAAGCACCGGCUAACUACGUGCCAGCAGCCGCGGUAAUACGUAGGGUGCAAGCGUUAAUCGGAAUUACUGGGCGUAAAGCGUACGCAGGCGGCUGUGCAAGACAGGUGUGAAAUCCCCGGGCCCAACCUGGGAACUGCACUUGUGACUGCAUGGCUAGAGUCCGUA
This 559-nucleotide ribosomal RNA is filed under the name uncultured incertae sedis 5 bacterium. RNAcentral describes it as "bacterial SSU rRNA". It matches the Rfam family "Bacterial small subunit ribosomal RNA", at positions 97 to 652 of the family's 1533-position model. The record is from RNAcentral.